UGACGACCAUAUCACAUUGAAACACCAGUUCCCAUACGAUCAUCGAAGUUAAGCAACGUCGAGCAUGGUCAGAAACUAGAUAGGUGACCGUUUGGGAAUACUAGGUAGUGUAA
Acanthosepion pharaonis is the source of this 113-nucleotide non-coding RNA. The record is from the annotation of a GenBank genome assembly. NCBI's taxonomy places the organism in Eukaryota, Metazoa, Mollusca, Cephalopoda, Sepiida, Sepiidae.